UGGGGAAUAUUGCACAAUGGGCGAAAGCCUGAUGCAGCAACGCCGCGUGAGGGAAGACGGUUUUCGGAUUGUAAACCUCUGUUUUCGGUGACGAACAAAUGACGGUACCUGACUAAGAAGCCCCGGCUAACUACGUGCCAGCAGCCGCGGUAAUACGUAGGGGGCAAGCGUUAUCCGGAUUUACUGGGUGUAAAGGGAGCGCAGGCGGUCCUGCAAGUCUGAUGUGAAAGCCCGGGGCUCAACCCCGGGACUGCAUUGGAAACUGUGGGACUUGAGUGUCGGAGGGGCAAGUGGAAUUCCUAGUGUAGCGGUGAAAUGCGUAGAUAUUAGGAGGAACACCAGUGGCGAAGGCGGCUUGCUGGACGACAACUGACGCUGAGGCUCGAAAGCGUGGGGAGCAAACAGGAUUAGAUACCCUGGUAGU
This 424-nucleotide ribosomal RNA is filed under the name uncultured Lachnospiraceae bacterium. RNAcentral's name for it is "bacterial SSU rRNA". It matches the Rfam family "Bacterial small subunit ribosomal RNA", at positions 355 to 794 of the family's 1533-position model. Lineage: Bacteria; Bacillati; Bacillota; Clostridia; Lachnospirales; Lachnospiraceae. The record is from RNAcentral.